GUACGACGCUGGUGGUGCUGUCUCAGUUGCAUUUAUUUGAACUUAACUUCCGGGUGAAAGGCCCAGAUAAAUCUGAAAGACGAUUAGACCCUAUCGAACUUUAGGUAGAUCAGCUGUCAAGACACCCAGUAAGGGUAGAGCCUGCCUGCUGCUUAAACCUUUGGUUGGGGUAACCGGGGGUUAAAAAAACCGCCCCCCUCCUUUGAAAGUAGACACCCGCAUGAUGAAGGUAGUAAAGAUUUUACCUCCAGGGCAAUUGGCCUUCAGGAAAGUACCACCUUUUAUAAAAUUAGGAAAGUCUGACAAGACAUAACUUACUUAUAGAAUGAACCUAAAGAACUGUUUGCUAUCAGUCAACUGUUAAUAGGGAAGAGUUACCGUAGGGAUAACAGCGUAAUCCUCCCGGCGAGACCACAUUAAGGGGAGGGUUUGCGACCUCGAUGUUGGCUUAGGGCUUCCUAGAAGUGCAGGGGCUUCUAAGGUUGUCUGUUCGACCAUUAAAGCCUUACGUGAUCUGAGUUCAACCGCG
Molecule: ribosomal RNA, 529 nt
Filed under: Lottia cf. borealis 10_KurGor
Lineage: Eukaryota; Metazoa; Mollusca; Gastropoda; Lottiidae
Also listed under: 2 other names
Description: partial large subunit ribosomal RNA
Rfam family: Bacterial large subunit ribosomal RNA
Source: RNAcentral